GAUGAACGCUGGCGGUGUGCCUAAUACAUGCAAGUCGAGCGACCAGACGAGGAGAUCGCUCCUCUAACGUUAGCGGCGGACGGGCGAGUAACACGUGGAUCACCUACCUCUAAGACUGGGAUAACUACGGGAAACCGGAGCUAAUACUGGCUAAUACAUUGAACCGCAUGGAUCAAUAGUGAAAGACGGUUUUGCUGUCUCAUAUAGACGGAUCCGCGCCGCAUUAGCUAGUUGGUAAGGUAACGGCUUACCAAGGCAACGAUGCGUAGCUGACCUGAGAGGGUGAUCAGCCACACUGGAACUGAGACACGGUCCAGACUCCUACGGGAGGCAGCAGUGGGGAAUCUUGCACAAUGGGCGAAAGCCUGACGGAGCAACGCCGCGUGGGUGAUGAAGGUCUUCGGAUCGUAAAGCUCUGUUGUUGGGGAAGAACAGAUGUGGAAGAAACUAUGCACGUCUUGACGGUACCUAAUCAGAAAGCCACGGCUAACUACGUG
Molecule: ribosomal RNA, 497 nt
Filed under: uncultured bacterium
Lineage: Bacteria
Description: partial 16S ribosomal RNA
Rfam family: Bacterial small subunit ribosomal RNA
Source: RNAcentral